Molecule: ribosomal RNA, 211 nt
Filed under: uncultured marine archaeon
Lineage: Archaea
Description: partial 16S ribosomal RNA
Rfam family: Archaeal small subunit ribosomal RNA
Source: RNAcentral
AAGGAAGGGCAACGGCAGGUCAGUAUGCAGAGAAACUCUGGGGCCACACGCGGGCUGCAAUGGUAACGACAAUUGGUUUCGAAUCCGAAAGGAUGAGGUAAUCCUCAAACGUUACCACAGUUAUGACUGAGGGCUGCAACUCGCCCUCACGAAUAUGGAAUCCCUAGUAACUGCGUGUCAUUAUCGCGCGGUGAAUACGUCCCUGCUCCUU